RNAcentral lists this transfer RNA (65 nucleotides) under Spathius agrili (emerald ash borer parasitic wasp). Its description in RNAcentral is "tRNA-Leu". The record is from RNAcentral. Lineage: Eukaryota; Metazoa; Arthropoda; Insecta; Hymenoptera; Braconidae.
UUUAAUAUGGCAGAUUAGUGCAAUGAUUUUAAGAUUCAUAUAUAAAAGUAAUUUUUUUAUUAAAA